CCUACGGGAGGCAGCAGUGAGGAAUAUUGGUCAAUGGACGAGAGUCUGAACCAGCCAAGUAGCGUGAAGGAUGACUGCCCUAUGGGUUGUAAACUUCUUUUAUAUGGGAAUAAAAUGUUCCACGUGUGGGAUUUUGUAUGUACCAUAUGAAUAAGGACCGGCUAACUCCGUGCCAGCAGCCGCGGUAAUACGGAGGGUCCGAGCGUUAUCCGGAUUUAUUGGGUUUAAAGGGAGCGUAGGUGGAUUGUUAAGUCAGUGGUGAAAGUUUGCGGCUCAACCGGAAAAUUGCAGUUGAAACUGGCAGUCUUGAGUACAGUAGAGGUAGGCGGAAUUCGUGGUGUAGCGGUGAAAUGCUUAGAUAUCACGAAGAACUCCGAUUGCGAAGGCAGUUCACUGGACUGCAACUGACACUGAGGCUCGAAAGUGUGGGUAUCAAACAGGAUUAGAUACCCGUGUAGUC
Molecule: ribosomal RNA, 460 nt
Filed under: uncultured bacterium
Lineage: Bacteria
Description: partial 16S ribosomal RNA
Rfam family: Bacterial small subunit ribosomal RNA
Source: RNAcentral